Molecule: long non-coding RNA, 533 nt
Filed under: Salvia miltiorrhiza (redroot sage)
Lineage: Eukaryota; Viridiplantae; Streptophyta; Magnoliopsida; Lamiales; Lamiaceae
Description: long non-coding RNA (SMIL_LNC003474)
Source: RNAcentral
AUUAAAUAAAAUAGGGAAGCCAUUUAUAUAGAUGAAAUAGAGCCCAUGCUUAAAUAAAUAAUAGUCCAUAUAAAUUUAAAAGAUGAGGCCCAACUCAAUAAAAUAGGAAUGGCCCAAACUGAAUAAAAUGAAUCGGGCCCAGCUAAAUAAAAUUAAAAAAAAUCGGCCCAAGCUUUUAAAAAAAAUCGCAGCCCAAAACUAUUUAAAAAUAGGCCCAAUACUCGGCCCAAGUCCCUCAAGCCCAAACCUCUAAGCCCAACCCAAGCCCAACAACCCCAAACUAAGCCCUAAGUCUUCCUCCCCCCUUCUUCUCCCCCAUCUGUCGCACAACACUCACACACACAUACAAUUUGCAGAUCUCACUCUCUCUCUCUCUCUCGGACUUCACGGCCGCGUGCCACCAUCCCGGCGACGAGCGCCGCUCUGUCAUCCUCACCAUCACCCUCGACCCCUCUAUUCUCCUCCCUCAAAUCUCUCUCGACUGUCUCCCUCAAACGUCCGUGGCCGAGCAGCAGCGACGCUACCGCCGUGCC